AACGAACGCUGGCGGCAUGCCUAACACAUGCAAGUCGAACGAGACCAUCGGGAGUAGUGGCGCAUGGGUGCGUAACGCGUCGGAACCUUCCCUUAUGUUCGGAAUACCUCCCCGACAGGGGUGCUAAUACCGGAUAAUGUCUUCUAACCAAAGAUUUAUCGCCCUGGUAUGGGCCGGCGUUGGAUUAGCUAGUUGGGAGGGUAAAAGCCUACCAAGGCGACGAUCGAUAGCUGGGCUGAGAGACAGCUCAGCCACACUUGGACGAGGACACGGCCGAGAAUCCUACGGGAUGGAGGAAAGCCGGAUAUUGGAACACGGCGUGAAGGAUGAACGACUUAGGCUGGGAGAGUGCUGAUGGUCUUAAAGAAGAAAAGCUCUUUUAACCGUGAUGAUAAUGACGGUACCGAAAGAAUAAGCUCCGGCUAACUCCGUG
RNAcentral lists this ribosomal RNA (433 nucleotides) under uncultured bacterium. RNAcentral describes it as "partial 16S ribosomal RNA". It matches the Rfam family "Bacterial small subunit ribosomal RNA", at positions 29 to 507 of the family's 1533-position model. The record is from RNAcentral.